RNAcentral lists this transfer RNA (72 nucleotides) under Ovis aries (sheep). It matches the Rfam family "tRNA". Rfam says of the family: Transfer RNA (tRNA) molecules are approximately 80 nucleotides in length. Their secondary structure includes four short double-helical elements and three loops (D, anti-codon, and T loops). Lineage: Eukaryota; Metazoa; Chordata; Mammalia; Artiodactyla; Bovidae. The record is from Rfam by way of RNAcentral.
UCCCUGCUGGCUCAGACAGUAAAGAAUCUGCCUGCAAAGCAGGAGACCCAGGUUCGAUCCCUGGGUCGGGAA